This 1195-nucleotide small RNA is filed under the name Pan troglodytes (chimpanzee). RNAcentral describes it as "retained intron". Lineage: Eukaryota; Metazoa; Chordata; Mammalia; Primates; Hominidae. The record is from RNAcentral.
ACUGGCAGAGGGUACUGCCGGGUAUUGAAGGAUUCGUAGGAGUUCGCCAGGGAAGUGGGACACGACCGCCUCUUGUAAACCCGGCGCCAGGCACAGAGGUCUCCGUCUCUCCACCGGGGGCUUCAUCCUUCCAGGGAGGAGAAGAGGGACUCCAGAAUGGCUGAGGAGAAGAAGCUGAAGCUUAGCAACACUGUGCUGCCCUCGGAGUCCAUGAAGGUGGUGGCUGAAUCCAUGGGCAUCGCCCAGAUUCAGGAGGAGACCUGCCAGCUGCUAACGGAUGAGGUCAGCUACCGCAUCAAAGAGAUCGCACAGGAUGCCUUGAAGUUCAUGCACAUGGGGAAGCGGCAGAAGCUCACCACCAGUGACAUUGACUACGCCUUGAAGCUAAAGAACGUCGAGCCGCUCUAUGGCUUCCACGCCCAGGAGUUCAUUCCUUUCCGCUUCGCCUCUGGUGGGGGCCGGGAGCUUUACUUCUACGAGGAGAAGGAGGUUGAUCUGAGCGACAUCAUCAAUACCCCUCUGCCCCGGGUGCCCCUGGACGUCUGCCUCAAAGGUUGGGGGAGGGGAGAGCAGGGUGGCAGGGAGGAGGGAAAGGAGGACAGAUGUGUGUGGGUGUGAGGAGCCGCACAAUAGAAGAAAAGCUCAGUGUGAGAUCCCUGGUGAGUUGCAAGGGGAGCAGGAGUGGAAACACGCUUCCAUAGCAUGGGGCAACUCCCCAGUGUCCAUGCGUGGCAAUUCACCUUGACACCUGCCUUCCUUGCAGCUCAUUGGCUGAGCAUCGAGGGCUGCCAGCCAGCUAUCCCCGAGAACCCGCCCCCAGCUCCCAAAGAGCAACAGAAGGCCGAAGCCACAGAACCCCUGAAGUCAGCCAAGCCAGGCCAGGAGGAAGACGGACCCCUGAAGGGCAAAGGUCAAGGGGCCACCACAGCCGACGGCAAAGGGAAAGAGAAGAAGGCGCCGCCCUUGCUGGAGGGGGCCCCCUUGCGACUGAAGCCCCGGAGCAUCCACGAGUUGUCUGUGGAGCAGCAGCUCUACUACAAGGAGAUCACCGAGGCCUGCGUGGGCUCCUGUGAGGCCAAGAGGGCGGAAGCCCUGCAAAGCAUUGCCACGGACCCCGGGCUGUAUCAGAUGCUGCCACGGUUCAGUACCUUUAUCUCGGAGGGGGUCCGUGUGAACGUGGUUCAGAACAACCUGG